This is a long non-coding RNA of Haemorhous mexicanus (house finch), 9581 nucleotides long. RefSeq lists it as uncharacterized. Lineage: Eukaryota; Metazoa; Chordata; Aves; Passeriformes; Fringillidae. The record is from RefSeq and is a predicted model, not a curated record. The transcript is spliced from 3 exons.
AGGCCCCCCCAGCCCUCCACUCACGGAGCAGCCGCGAGAGGAGUCGCUGAUUUUCUCCGCCCGCGACGGGGAGGGUGCAGGCGGGAAUUCCGGCGGCCCCGCCGUGGCCAGACCACCUUAAGGGGAGCGGCGGCGGCGGGCGCGGGCUGCGAGCGCGGCGGGGCCGUCCCGGGGGGUUGUCGCGCUCCCGGGACGGGGCGUUUGUUUGUUAAUUGAGGCGCUGCUGCGCCUGGCGCUCGCGCGGCGCUCCCGCUGCGGCCCUAAUGACUGGAACCGCGGGAACGCGGCGGGGCCCGUCUGCCGGCGGCGGGAAUCGUGUGAUUCCCGGGGAGUCACACGGAGAGAAGCGGGGCCGGGGGGGGAGCGAGCCCGCCCCGGGGGGCGGUGCGGGGCGCCCGAGGAGGAAAUGGAACGCGUGAGGCCAAACAAGGAACAAUCCCCGGGUUGUUGGCCGAGCCAACAGGCUGCUGUCGUCUUGUGAACCAACGCGAGGAUUACCCCGUUAGGAGGAAAUGGGCGAUGAUGGGGCGAUAAACGCGCCCGCUGUGUAAUCACAAUUGAUUUGCAAUUGACCGAGCGCCGCUCCCGACCCCGCGCCCGCCCCAGGUCUCACAGGGCUGGGAAGCUCUCGGAGGCCGUGGCCGCGCUCCUCCGCCUGCUCGGACUGUGCGGUCGGUCCCGCUAUUACACGCGCGGUGCUGUUUGUCACCAUAAUCAGAACUUCCCCAAAAGUAGCAGGUGGUUAUUUUAGCGCCAAUUUAGUUAACACCAUUGUGAAAAGUCUUACGAGAUCGAACAAUGCCCGGUGAAGAAAACGUCUGGCACAGGACUCAGUGACGGAUAGAGGUUUAAAAAGUCUCCAGUCCUGGAUGCGAUGCUCCAUUUUAAGAAGUGACUUUUUUUGUGUGUGUGUGUGUGUGUGUGUGGUGACUGCUUGAAGCGCACCUUAUUUAAAAAUCUCUACAGAAUGUAAAACUGAGUCUAGUCGGGGGAGCCGGGCGAGUCCGUAAAUUACCGCUCUGUCAGGAUUCCUCUUGCCUGUUACAAAGUACCUUUUUAUGCUGAACUUAAACUUUACACUACAGAGACAGCAGAUGUGAGGUGAUGGCUUCCAAAAGCAACACAGAUGCUGUAAAAUUUCCAUUGCUAUAUUUCAGCAAGGAAGCUCAGGAGACAUGCUGAAUGCUGCAGUUUAGAAUUACACUGUAACUCUCCUAGAAAUAAGAGAAUACUAAGUUUCUCAACAGUACAUUUGGCUUCAUUUUUGCUGUCAUUCAUACGCUCUUGUCUUCUUACAGCGAAGAGAUGCAGCACAAAGAUACUGUGUGUCUUGAAGCUGUUCAGUAAUGACAGAGUUGGUAAUAUGGAACUUUAUGGUAAUUUAGUAAUGACUGCAUAUCCAAAUUCCCUAGUAAGACCAUGAUAAUUUUUAAAAUUGUCUUUCAGGUAUAUAAAACAGCACAGCUGCGAGGAGGCUGCUUUGCUUUAUGUGACUGAAAAGCAGCCUGGUUAGCUCAGCACUGUGGAAUCAGAGCCCAUUGUGUGUUCCUCAUACUUGGAGACUCCCCUGAAGUCCCUAGAUGUCCUGUGAUGAAGGAAUCGAGGGUCAAGUCUUUAAAAUGGUUUGUGUGUUUAUUCCAGAAAAUUCAGCAGCUGCUUUUUCUGAAAAGCUGAACUUUGCUAUAGCAAUGUAGAAUACUUUAGAGCACUUUUCCCCCUGGGAUUUCAAAACAGAUGUCCAGUCAUCAAAUCCUGCAGAAAUAUAAAUCUGGCAAGAAUGUUACAGAUAUUAUAUCUUUUUACAAAGUUACAGAUUUGACUUGUCAAAUGUAGUCACUUUCUGACUAGUCUUUGUCACUACAGAUCUUUGUUGCCACAGACACUCAUGCCUCUUUUAGUCAAACAAUUAGGUUUGGCACUGGCCCCUCUAACAUAAGCUUAAUUUUUCUGUGCAUCUGAGGCUUUGCAUUUGGGAUUAUAUGGAUCCCACCAAACCAGGUGAUGGUAGCUACAGGGCAUUUUAGUUCAAAAUAAGUAAAUUUGCCUUUUUUUUUUUAACUGGAAGUAAAAGUGCCACAUGAAAUCUUGGAUUUAACAUGCUAUUUUGUUUAUGUAAAAAUAGAGACGUUUAGUUCAUAAGAUUGAAAAAAUUGCUUUUUAAUUCCCACUGAAUGUUCUCCAGUAAAUUUUAGUGAGGCAUUGUCUGCAUUGGAUAGGUCACUGAAUGGUGGUUUUAUAAAAGCGUUUGAAAAGAAGAACUUGGUCCAUGGAAAUUGUUCAAAUAAUCUUGUUAGAAUGAAGCCUUGACUGAAGGCAGUAAUUUCAUGGAUUAAACCCAGAAGGGCUGGCUAGGCUGAUCUCCUUCCUAUCACAGGCCACAGAGCUUUGUGCAGAGACUGUCUAAGCAAAUGCUGGUUAGCUGCAAGACAUGGGGGAUUUUGCAUGGACAAUACAUUGAACAACACCAUGAAACUGGAAACUGGAACUUUUUGAGGACAGGAUAAAUAGGAGCUGGAAGAAAGAGUAUUUUUACAGGCCAUUAAUAAACACAGUGAGGUAGAGUUGUUGUAUCUAACAAUGUUCAGAUUUCCCCUAAAAAGUUCCAAUUAAAAUUAAGAAAGACUGUUUUUUUCCUCCAGUCUAUCCUUUUCUCUCACAUGCCACAUGUGGUCCAGAAGUGAGCAAUGAUGGCACAUCCAAGUAUGGGAAGGAAUUGCCUGGUUUGCACUUCUGCAAGUCCAAAAAGCACAAAUUAUGAGCAAAAAUCCAGUGCUGUGAAACCUGAAGAGAAAUAGGGAUAGUAAAAUACAGUGUGCAUAUCUGUCUUACAGUUUGAUAUUUUUCCUUUUACAAAAAUAAAUAAAUAAAUAAAUAAAUAAAUAAGCGGCAUUCAUACACCUUCCGAGUCAGCCUGUACUUUAUUGUGAUUCAUGAGAACUUUUUGUAGGCAAGAAUAGCGUUCUGCUUACAUUUCUUCAGGCAUGUCAGAUCUGAUACCAUAGUGGUGCUACUGUUGUUCAGUGAGAUACAAGAGAGACUUCAGGAAACAAGAAUACAAUGUGCUGCAAUAGCUACUCCUGGAGUGCAGUGAGCAGGUGACAGAGGAGGAGGAGAAACUUCUGGAAGAGUACUUUGCUGUCGCUUUGUCAUAAAGGAUGAUCACAAAGGAUGAUCAGUGCUGUGGUCUGAGUAUUGCUCUGACACUGAAGCUGCAAAUUUGGCCCUGAAUGUGUUUGGAGGAUUUUCUGCUGACCAUGUUUAAAUUUUUUCCUGAAGAAGAAAUUUAAACAUGCACCUUUGAGUGCAUGGGCUUUGCUAGAGAAGGAGUGUGAGCUGCAGAAUGAGUGUAAGGACUCAGUGGGAACAGCAGUUUAGCAUGAGGGCAGUAUAAGAGGAGCUCCUGUUCUCCCACACUGUGCAGUUGGUGAUUGGGCUGCAAAGUAUUGGCUCUCUCAGUGUAAUUGUAUAUUGCUUCAAUUCUCAUUAGUGAAGCAAUGCAGGAGGAAGGAAUGCACGAAAAUAAAAAUUAUAAAGAUGGUGAAGAAAAAUAAGGGUUCUUGAGGGGUUUUUCCAAAAUAUUGUAUUUUUCUUUUCCCACCACUAGUUAGCAAGCUGCAUUUAUAAUCCACCUGUGCUCCAGACAGUAAUACUUCAUGGUGUGGUGUUUCACACAUGAUAAAUCAUGUGACUUUUGAAGACAAAUUGCACUGAAUUACAGUCUGUUGAUCCAUUGUCACUGGAUGUCAACUGUCUGCUGAUCCAUUGUCAUUGUCUCUAUUUGGAGAGCAACACAAACUCCAUGAAUUGCUAACCAUAAAGUAUGUGAGGGUAAAUGGACAGAGUGAGUAGUGUUGUCUUCCUCUGAUUACCCAGGUAACCAUGAAUUUACUUUUGGGCUGCUGCUAGAACAUUGGUAUGUAUAUGCACUUCUGAAUCUCAGGAAGGUUAUGUGGAUUCAGGUUGGCAAGGAGAGGUCUGGUCCCUGGGUGUUAAUAUGAGAGUAUAAACAUGCACCACUCUCUUCUCGAAGUGAAAGCAUGUCCAGGCCUCUGGCACACCAGUGACUCCUGCAGUCAUGUUUGUGGUUCUGUCUCCAUGCUCCACCAAAAUGUAGUUAGUGUUCAUAUAUGCUGGAAUGGCACAUUCACCAUCACUACUCCCAGCAUGGGCUGGGAAGUCCAUUUGGUCAGUCUUCAGUUUUGGAGACCUCAGUUUUAACGACAUGUGUAUAAACCCCUGCAAAGCUUCUGAUAAAUAUCCACUGCUGUUGCAUUGCUCCCUGCCUUGCCUGUCUGGGAUGUGGCCCUCUGGGAUGGGCAGCUUCCAAAUUACAGCUCCCACCUGGCCUUAGGAUGGUAUGACCUGCAGGUAUCUGGACUUUGAUGUCACAGCUUUGGGGGAAUUAAGGGGACUCUAUCAUUAACUUGACCUCCUUGACUUUGUUACCUAGUCCAUGUCUGGGUGGUAGCAGAUGGGUGAGUAGCUCAUUUAACUCUUACCAACUCUGAGUAUUGGUACUGACAGGGUGAAAGGAAGAGCCAGAACAGAGUGGGUGGGGAGGGCAGGUUGCCUCUCAUGUAGGGUAAAUCAGAUUUGGGAUGGCUCAGUUGCCACACUCACACAGCUCUGGUGGCACUCUUGGCAAGAAAUCCUGCCCAGCCUGUGUGCAGCUGUGUGCCAGCUCAUCCAGCCUGGUGGAAGAAGGUUGGUGCAGAGGCAAGAUUAAGUAGUGUAGUCCACUUUGAGCUAAACCCUUCUGCAUAAGGUACAUGGAGACCUUAGCUUGCACAUAUACCCUCUCACAUGCUGUAAAUUAAAUGACAAAAUAAACAGGUGAUGUGCUUCUGAGGAAGAAGUGAGCUGAUGAAAAAAUGACACUUUAUUUUGAAAGGCAUGGAUAAGACUAAAACCCAGAUAUAAGAAAGCAAAACUUUUUAUAACUGAUUUGAAGAGAAACAUGUCAUUAAAUCCUUGAAAAAUAUGAAGUUGGUCAUCAAUUCUGAUGCUACUUUUUGCCCCUUGGAGGUCCGUGGAACUAUAAGUUAAGGGAAUAAUGUUUUGCAUAUGUUUGAAGUAGACAUUUUUUAAGUUUCACUGUUUCCAAUCCCAAUUUUUGAUGGAUACCCAGUAGUAAUUUUUAAAAUACUGAAUGAUAAAAUCACAAUUUAUCCAGGAGAUAAAAAUGAAAUAACAGAUGUAUCUUUCAUCACUGAUUUUGAAUAUUUAUUCUUUGUAUUUCAUUUUUUCUAAACAAUUUUUUUAUUUCUACAGUUAGACCCUGACUAAUUCUUCGCUGGGACAACAGUGGCUGGGACAACAGUGGCUGGUUAUUCCAAAUAUGAGAAACACAACAUGCUUUGACAGAAUUCAGAGGACUUUGGAAGACUUUGUCUGGAAACAAAAACUUCUGGAUUUGGAAUAUGUUACUGUAGUCCUCCUCUGACAUUACAGCCUGGAUGCCUGCUGGCCCUGCUCUGCAAGGCUGAGGCUGCCUUCCACCUUUGACAUUUUGCCAUGAUCUUUCCUCCUUGAAGGGAGUGCUGUAAGUGGGGAAUCCCUCAAAAAGUGAUCUGUCCUCAGAAUUCUCAUUUAAAUGUAAGUCUGGUUGAUAGAGGUCUGCCACAUAAAGCAGGUAAGCUAGAGAUACAAUGAAAUGCUACACUAGCAUUUCUUAAUAACAUACUAUGUUUUCAAUCAAAAUAUUUUUGUUGAUAAGUUUGGAUUUUUGGUAAGGAAAAUAUACUUGCAGAAGCACAUAUUUAGACAUGCCAAAAACCCCCAAACAAUCCAACCAGAAAGUGUUUAGCUGAAAGCCUCAUUUCCCAUCAAAAAUAGAUACAGUGGAAAAUUUUCAAGAAGCCCUAUAUUUAACCUCCUUGGAUCAGAAUUUGGUUGUUGGACUGAGGGAGGCUUACAGAGUUCUUUGGCUGCUUUUGUUAGGGUGUCUGUUUUUUCACUCAUGACAUCUGCCUGCUUUUCAAGCUAUAUCCAACCUUGUUAUAACUCUUGCUAUUGCAGCAUUUUACUGUGUUCAGAAUGCUAAUUCCCACUGGACUCAACUCACUUGAGUAUGUACAAACUCAGUUUCUUUCAAGGGGUGCAUCAAUCUUGCUUUUUAAUUUUUUUUAUUAUUUAAAAAAAAAUUUAUUUUACUUUGGCUGUGUUUUACUAGGAAAAUGUGAGUGCUGUGUACUGACUGCACAAAACAGUUAUCACUACAGUGCAGCUCCUAGUUCUUUGCCCAAGGUAGCCUUGCUUUGGCACACUGUGGAUACAAAAGUUUAUAUAAUUUUAAGGGAUAAUUGGAUAAGUGAAAGAGAAGGUCCAUUGGGCAAAAUAAAUAGAUAAAUCACAUCAGUCUCAGGAAUUCUUGAGUGGAAUAUAGUUGAAAUGCUAGAGAGUUAUUCUGGGAAAAAGGUAUUUGAUUUCUUUGCUCAUGCUCUCUUCUCUUCACUCUGACUUAUGCCUGCUCUUGGAAGCAGGAUACUGACCUAAAUGGACCUUUGAUCUGAAUUGUCAUAGCUAUCCUUGGAUGGGGAGAAGUACACUGACAAAUGAGUAAGCAUGGGCUUUGGCCAUCUGGAAUUCAGCAACAUUUUUCAAAAAAUAUUUUUUUUUUUCACCAAGAAAAGUUCAAGCGAAUCACUAAAUAUGUGAGCAUGGGAAUAGAGAAUUUUGUUUGAAUAGAUUGUGAUUCUGGAGUUUCAAGCAUUCUGUUUAUUUAUUUUUUUAAGUAGGUUUUGCAGCUUCCAUUUCUCCUUUGUUGCUUUUUGUAGAAGUAAAAAUUUGCAGCAACUAUGUCUCAAAUACAACUGUGAACCGUUUUCUGCUCUACCCACCCAAAGUUGGUGGGUAGAACAUUAGUGUGAGAAUCCUGCAAAAUUCCCUGGACAUUGUAUUAUGACAAGAAGAGAAAGCAAAGCAAAUAUUAAAAAUCAGGGAGGAACAUCGUUAAUAUGAUCUGCAUUAGUUUCAGUAUGAGUUAUGUUCUGUCAUUAGUUCAGUGUCAGAAUGCAGUUUGUAGCCAGAAGCUACCACCAACUGGCAACAUGAGGCAUUUCUUGAGCAAAACUUGAUUUUUAUUCUUUAUUGCUUGUUUUGUAUUUUAACAGCUUUAGAGAAAUAUCUUUCCAGAUAUUCUUAACUUUGUUUUCAUGGUAGUUUAGCUUAGUUCAUGACUGCUAAGUAAUAUUAAGUAAUACUAUUAAGUCCUCACAGGUAUUAAUGGUAAAAUCUAUAAAGGAGCAUACUCUUAGUAAAACAACAGGGGUUUUUUCUAUAUUUUUAAUAAACUCUUCAGAAUUUUUAUGAUUUCCUGAAAAUAGAUAUAUUUAAUUUUACUCCUGUGUGCUUAAAUUUACCUGGGUGUUAUAUUGGCCAAAAUAGGUAGGGUCUCUUUUAUUUUAUUUCCUGACGUGGCAUGCACUUUUUAUUCAGAUUUCUGUCAGCACAAUUUUAUUAUAGUACAUUGUUAGUACUAGAAGCUCCCUUUUAUUAUUUUAGAACUAUUUAAAAUAAAUAUUUGGAAGAAAAUAUAAUAGCCAGACAACAUUUAAAAGAACGAAAGAGUUUGAGUGUUGUUGAGAAAUAGAUUCAUCAACCCAAAGAGUGGCAGGAAGGACAACAGAGAAAGGAAAGCACAAUAUUGAAGCAUAAGAGUGAGCUCAUAUGGUGCCAGCUGCUUAUGUGUGGAAUCUAAAUACUUUCUGAAGCAUAGUGCUCCACAAUCAAUUAGCAUUAAUUCAAAUAAUCUUUGUAUAAGGAAGAAAUUUUAGUACAUUAGAAUUCAUGAGUUGGAAAAAGUAGAAAAAAAAUGUUUAUGCUUUCCAAAAAAAAGCAGUAAAAAUAUGUAAAUUCUAUUAAAAUUAAUUUAGAAAUUCUGUGAAGUGAAAGAAGAUAGUGUAAUCCUGUCUCUAUAGUGUGUCAAGAAUGGCAGAAUAGAGCAACUUCUCUCACAUAAUUUUGUAUGGCUUAAUCAGAAUUUUUAUGAUAAUGUCAAGAACUGAGAAGCAAAUAGAGUUGCAAAAUCUGUCCACUCUUGAAACUGAAGAAUUGAGGAGAGUAAUUGGGUGCAAUAUAAACAUGUGUUCACAAGUAAUUGGACUGACACUAUUAAAUUUCUUUCAUUUCAGUACUAGGUAGUAAUUACUUUAACUUCAAGGAAAAGAGAAGAUUACAUCCUGUAAACUUUGUCAUGCAAAAUAAUCUGUCCUCCUGUCAGUGAAGCUGGUUACUUUAAAAUGUCUGUUUGCUUGAGAAAAGGUGUGUCAAAUCAGGUCUGUGGCUUUAUCUCCUCUCAUGGUAUUCACAUCAGCAGCAAGUAAUGUUAGAAGAAUAAAGUCUCUCAGGCUUUAUAUUAAGGAUUCAAUUAUUCUGUAUAAUUAGCCCUGAUUUGUUAAAUAUUUGAAACAUUUUCUACUCUUAGGUAUGGAACAGUGUACUGGAGUGAUCAAAACCAUAAAUAACUUGUACCUUUACUCAGAAAAUGCUUUUUUAUCAAAUAAUAAUGAAGAUUAAGCCUAAGUCUCUCUCUUUUUCUGUUUGGAUUUUAUUCCUACAAGAAAUAUCACUUUUGUCCACAAUCUCUUGUGUAUUUCUCGUCCCUUGGAAUACAAAGAGGCAAUGGAUUCUGGAAUAAAUUAGGUAGAUUUAAUGAAAUUUAUGAAUUGUAACUUGUGCCUUGAAUAUAAAAUACUUGAGUGAGGAAUAAGGUAUUUUGCUGAUUCCAUUAUUGUCACCUGUCUGUUUUUUUCAUUCUUCUGUGCCUGUUUUUUGAAACACUUAGGAGCUGUGGAGUCUUGGGAAUAACAGUUUCUAUUUGCCAUAUGUAGCAAAUCUUUCCAAGGUCAUCUUUUUGUGUCUUCUUUUAAAGAAGCAAGGCAGACAUACUCUGCAAAAUGAGAAGAUGGUAUUACUGCCCUACUCAGAAGCUGGCUGUUACCUCAUAUACAUGCUACUUUCCCAUUUAAUCAGAAAGAGAUUUCUCCUCUGGUGUCAGACAGCAUCAAAAUGUUGCUGCUCAGUGUCACUGGUAAGGAUUACAGGUUCAGGGGAAGUUACCUCCCUCCGCCUACUCCAGUAAAGUUUUUCCUGUUAAAACACAGAUUCAGUCAUGAGGGACAAUUGCUCUGGAAGGCUCUUAAACCAAAGUCACUGAAAUAUUAUUUGGAGAGGUAGCAGAUUAAUUAUGGUCUUCCAUUUGUUAUAAAUAUGACUGGGAUGGGCAUUAUAAUAGAAAUUAUAAGCACUCCUUAAUAUGUAAAGAUUGAUUAAAAUCUUUAACCUUUCUGUAAUAAAAGAAUAUCCAUUUCUGUAUCUCUCUUUACAUAGACACAUGUAUAUUUUUACUUAGUAAUAAGAGCUAGUGUUACUCUUAUAGACAGUAUAGUGUAAGGUAAAUUAAACAACUCUAUUGCUAUUUUGAGAACUUCUCUUUUUCUUAAUAUAGUGUGAAUCUAAUCUGGUGUACCUGGCUUGUUGUGCAACUCUUGCAACUCUGCAAGAGUCCCAGAGCAGAAAAAGAUUACAGCUGUUAACUAAAUGUAUACCAAUGUAAUUAAAGUGCAUUAUCUUUAAAGAAA